UGAAUUGACGGGACCCGCACAAGCGGUGGAUGAUGUGGUUUAAUUCGAUGCAACGCGAAAAACCUUACCCACCUUUGACAUGUACGGAACCCUUUAGAGAUAGAGGGGUGCUCGAAAGAGAGCCGUAACACAGGUGCUGCAUGGCUGUCGUCAGCUCGUGUCGUGAGAUGUUGGGUUAAGUCCCGCAACGAGCGCAACCCUUGUCAUUAGUUGCUACAUUCAGUUGGGCACUCUAAUGAGACUGCCGGUGACAAGCCGGAGGAAGGUGGGGAUGACGUCAAGUCCUCAUGGCCCUUAUAGGUGGGGCUACACACGUCAUACAAUGGCUGGUACAAAGGGUUGCCAACCCGCGAGGGGGAGCCAAUCCCAUAAAGCCAGUCGUAGUCCGGAUCGUAGUCUGCAACUCGACUACGUGAAGUCGGAAUCGCUAGUAAUCGUGGAUCAGAAUGUCACGGUGAAUACGUUCCCGGGUCUU
This 475-nucleotide ribosomal RNA is filed under the name uncultured Rhodoferax sp. RNAcentral describes it as "bacterial SSU rRNA". It matches the Rfam family "Bacterial small subunit ribosomal RNA", at positions 907 to 1382 of the family's 1533-position model. Lineage: Bacteria; Pseudomonadati; Pseudomonadota; Betaproteobacteria; Burkholderiales; Comamonadaceae. The record is from RNAcentral.